CCUACGGGAGGCAGCAGUGAGGAAUAUUGGUCAAUGGCCGGAAUGCUGAACCAGCCAUGCCGCGUGAAGGUCAGUGCCCUAUGGGCGUUAAACUUCUUUUGUGCGGGAGCAAUAAUGGUCACGUGUGGCCAGACGAGAGUACCGUACGAAUAAGCAUCGGCUAACUCCGUGCCAGCAGCCGCGGUAAUACGGGGGAUGCAAGCGUUGUCCGGAAUUAAUGGGUUUAAAGGGUUCGUAGGCUGUGAGGUAAGUCAGCGGGGAAAUGCCCCCGGUCAACGGGGUGAAGUGCCAUUGAUACUGCCGUGCUGGAAUGCGGAUGCCGUGGGAGGAAUGUGUGGUGUAGCGGUGAAAUGCAUAGAUAUCACACAGAACACCGAUUGCGAAGGCAUCUCACGAAGCCGCGAUUGACGCUGAUGCACGAAAGCGUGGGUAUCAAACAGGAUUAGAUACCCUAGUAGUC
RNAcentral lists this ribosomal RNA (460 nucleotides) under uncultured bacterium. RNAcentral's name for it is "partial 16S ribosomal RNA". It matches the Rfam family "Bacterial small subunit ribosomal RNA", at positions 338 to 795 of the family's 1533-position model. The record is from RNAcentral.